UAGCUACAGGCUUAACACAUGCAAGUCGAGGGGCAGCAUUUCAGUUUGCUUGCAAACUGGAGAUGGCGACCGGCGCACGGGUGAGUAACACGUAUCCAACCUGCCGAUAACUCGGGGAUAGCCUUUCGAAAGAAAGAUUAAUACCCGAUGGUAUAAUCAGACCGCAUGGUCUUGUUAUUAAAGAAUUUCGGUUAUCGAUGGGGAUGCGUUCCAUUAGGCAGUUGGUGAGGUAACGGCUCACCAAACCUUCGAUGGAUAGGGGUUCUGAGAGGAAGGUCCCCCACAUUGGAACUGAGACACGGUCCAAACUCCUACGGGAGGCAGCAGUGAGGAAUAUUGGUCAAUGGGCGCAGGCCUGAACCAGCCAAGUAGCGUGAAGGAUGACUGCCCUAUGGGUUGUAAACUUCUUUUAUAUGGGAAUAAAGUUUUCCACGUGUGGAAUUUUGUAUGUACCAUAUGAAUAAGGAUCGGCUAACUCCGUGCCAGCAGCCGCGGUAAUACGGAGGAUCCGAGCGUUAUCCGGAUUUAUUGGGUUUAAAGGGAGCGUAGGUGGACAGUUAAGUCAGUUGUGAAAGUUUGCGGCUCAACCGUAAAAUUGCAGUUGAUACUGGCUGUCUUGAGUACAGUAGAGGUGGGCGGAAUUCGUGGUGUAGCGGUGAAAUGCUUAGAUAUCACGAAGAACUCCGAUUGCGAAGGCAGCUCACUGGACUGCAACUGACACUGAUGCUCGAAAGUGUGGGUAUCAAACAGGAUUAGAUACCCUGGUAGUCCACACAGUAAACGAUGAAUACUCGCUGUUUGCGAUAUACAGUAAGCGGCCAAGCGAAAGCAUUAAGUAUUCCACCUGGGGAGUACGCCGGCAACGGUGAAACUCAAAGGAAUUGACGGGGGCCCGCACAAGCGGAGGAACAUGUGGUUUAAUUCGAUGAUACGCGAGGAACCUUACCCGGGCUUAAAUUGCAUUUGAAUAUAUUGGAAACAGUAUAGCCGUAAGGCAAAUGUGAAGGUGCUGCAUGGUUGUCGUCAGCUCGUGCCGUGAGGUGUCGGCUUAAGUGCCAUAACGAGCGCAACCCUUAUCUUUAGUUACUAACAGGUCAUGCUGAGGACUCUAGAGAGACUGCCGUCGUAAGAUGUGAGGAAGGUGGGGAUGACGUCAAAUCAGCACGGCCCUUACGUCCGGGGCUACACACGUGUUACAAUGGGGGGUACAGAAGGCAGCUACCUGGUGACAGGAUGCUAAUCCCAAAAGCCUCUCUCAGUUCGGAUCGAAGUCUGCAACCCGACUUCGUGAAGCUGGAUUCGCUAGUAAUCGCGCAUCAGCCAUGGCGCGGUGAAUACGUUCCCGGGCCUUGUACACACCGCCCGUCAAGCCAUGAAAGCCGGGGGUACCUGAAGUACGUAACCGCAAGGAGCGUCCUAGGGUAAAACUGGUAAUUGGGGCUAAGUCAUAACAA
RNAcentral lists this ribosomal RNA (1454 nucleotides) under uncultured organism. RNAcentral's name for it is "SSU rRNA". It matches the Rfam family "Bacterial small subunit ribosomal RNA". The record is from RNAcentral.